UUUUUUGUUUUUUUUUUUUUUUUUUCUUUUUUUCUUUUUUUGUUC
Molecule: non-coding RNA, 45 nt
Filed under: uncultured Nitzschia
Lineage: Eukaryota; Bacillariophyta; Bacillariophyceae; Bacillariales; Bacillariaceae
Source: RNAcentral